GCCUGGGUGGCUCAGUCGGUUAAGCGUCUGACUUCGGCUCAGGUCAUGAUCUCACAGUUUGUGGGUUCGAGCCCCGCAUCGGGCU
RNAcentral lists this transfer RNA (85 nucleotides) under Crocuta crocuta (spotted hyena). It matches the Rfam family "tRNA". Rfam says of the family: Transfer RNA (tRNA) molecules are approximately 80 nucleotides in length. Lineage: Eukaryota; Metazoa; Chordata; Mammalia; Carnivora; Hyaenidae. RNAcentral also lists the same sequence under 4 other names. The record is from Rfam by way of RNAcentral.